RNAcentral lists this transfer RNA (69 nucleotides) under Ictidomys tridecemlineatus (thirteen-lined ground squirrel). Its description in RNAcentral is "Spermophilus tridecemlineatus (thirteen-lined ground squirrel) tRNA". It matches the Rfam family "tRNA". Rfam says of the family: Transfer RNA (tRNA) molecules are approximately 80 nucleotides in length. The record is from Rfam by way of RNAcentral. Lineage: Eukaryota; Metazoa; Chordata; Mammalia; Rodentia; Sciuridae.
GGAGUUGUGGCUCAGCGGUAGAGCACUCACCUAGCGUAUGAGAGGCCCUGGGUUCGAUCCUCUGCACCA